Molecule: ribosomal RNA, 650 nt
Filed under: uncultured bacterium
Lineage: Bacteria
Description: bacterial SSU rRNA
Rfam family: Bacterial small subunit ribosomal RNA
Source: RNAcentral
UGCAGUCGCGCGGUCAGCAAUGGCAGCGGCGGACGGGUGAGUAACGCGUAGGAAUGUAUCCAGAGGUGGGGGACAACCCCGGGAAACUGGGGCUAAUACCGCAUAUGGGCUGAGGCCCAAAGCAGUAAUGCGCCUUUGGAGCAGCCUGCGUCCGAUUAGGUAGUUGGUGGGGUAAUGGCCUACCAAGCCUUCGAUCGGUAGCUGGUCUGAGAGGACGAUCAGCCACACUGGGACUGAGACACGGCCCAGACUCCUACGGGAGGCAGCAGUGGGGAAUAUUGGACAAUGGGCGAAAGCCUGAUCCAGCAAUGCCGCGUGUGUGAAGAAGGUCUUCGGAUCGUAAAGCACUUUCGACAGGGACGAUGAUGACGGUACCUGUAGAAGAAGCCCCGGCUAACUUCGUGCCAGCAGCCGCGGUAAUACGAAGGGGGCUAGCGUUACUCGGAAUUACUGGGCGUAAAGGGCGCGUAGGCGGCUUGGCCAGUCAGGCGUGAAAUUCCUGGGCUUAACCUGGGGACUGCGCUUGAUACUGCCAGGCUUGAGGCCGAGAGAGGGUGGUGGAAUUCCCAGUGUAGAGGUGAAAUUCGUAGAUAUUGGGAAGAACACCGGUGGCGAAGGCGACCACCUGGCUCGGUACUGACGCUGAGGCG